RNAcentral lists this ribosomal RNA (464 nucleotides) under uncultured bacterium. RNAcentral describes it as "bacterial SSU rRNA". It matches the Rfam family "Bacterial small subunit ribosomal RNA", at positions 338 to 795 of the family's 1533-position model. The record is from RNAcentral.
CCUACGGCUGCACCAGUGGGGAAUAUUGCACAAUGGGCGCAAGCCUGAUGCAGCCAUGCCGCGUGUAUGAAGAAGGCCUUCGGGUUGUAAAGUACUUUCAGCGGGGAGGAAGGUGUUGAGGUUAAUAACCUCAGCAAUUGACGUUACCCGCAGAAUGAAGCACCGGCUAACUCCGUGCCAGCAGCCGCGUAAUACGGAGGGUGCAAGCGUUAAUCGGAAUUACUGGGCGUAAAGCGCACGCGGGCGGUCUGUCAAGUCGGAUGUGAAAUCCCCGGGCUCAACCUGGGAACUGCAUUCGAAACUGGCAGGCUAGAGUCUUGUAGAGGGGGGUAGAAUUCCAGGUGUAGCGGUGAAAUGCGUAGAGAUCUGGAGGAAUACCGGUGGCGAAGGCGGCCCCCUGGACAAAGACUGACGCUCAGGUGCGAAAGCGUGGGGAGCAGACAGGAUUAGAUACCCUUGUAGUC